GGUGACUAAGGAGACGUGCUCCUGGAAGAAGGCACUCAACGUGCAGGGUGCACAGCCCACUGACCUUCUUCCCUUCUGUAUGUCUUUUACAGUAGUGUCAGAAAUAUCACAGCUGGAACCAAUGCUGUCUAGAAGCUCUGAUACAGGCCCAGCUGCUUGUGAUUCUACAGCACGCCCACAGGAACUCAAACAACAGAUCCAGAGCUGCUGUGGGGUCAACAUAUCCUCACUAG
This 233-nucleotide long non-coding RNA is filed under the name Gallus gallus (chicken). Lineage: Eukaryota; Metazoa; Chordata; Aves; Galliformes; Phasianidae. The record is from RNAcentral.